Pantherophis guttatus is the source of this 421-nucleotide long non-coding RNA. RefSeq lists it as uncharacterized. Lineage: Eukaryota; Metazoa; Chordata; Lepidosauria; Squamata; Colubridae. The record is from RefSeq and is a predicted model, not a curated record.
UUGGAAUUUUGAAACCAUUUGUAGGUACUGUCACAAAAUGGUACCCUGCUGUGGGCCAUCAGUCACACAUCAGUCACACUUCUGUUCUAGAAGAGAAACAAACCAGCUGAUGGCAAUGGGUCUGAGUAGACUCCAGAAGCAUUUUUAUUAAGAUACCUAGAAUCUUCUAGUCCAACCCCCUGCCCAAGGAUGGGGAACAAACUCAGUGAAGGAAAAAGAAGAAAUCUCCUCUCUGAGCAAUUUCCCUUCACGACCGUUUUUGGGAUCUGAUUGCCGAAUUGACUCCAAAGAUUCCCCGGAGGCAGCAUUUAUGAGAAGCUGGGGACAUUCCAGGGGUAUAAUAAAAUGACAGCUGAGGACUAUCUGAGCACAACAGUUUGAGAAGAGCAUAAACGUUUUCCCCGACUGAGGUUCAGUGCUC